CCUACGGGAGGCAGCAGUGGGGAAUAUUGGACAAUGGGGGCAACCCUGAUCCAGCCAUGCCGCGUGUGUGAAGAAGGCCCUCGGGUUGUAAAGCACUUUCAGUGAGGAAGAACGCCUGGUAGUUAAUACCCAUCAGGAAAGACAUCACUCACAGAAGAAGCACCGGCUAACUCCGUGCCAGCAGCCGCGGUAAUACGGAGGGUGCGAGCGUUAAUCGGAAUUACUGGGCGUAAAGCGCGCGUAGGUGGCUUGAUAAGCCGGUUGUGAAAGCCCCGGGCUCAACCUGGGAACGGCAUCCGGAACUGUCAAGCUAGAGUGCAGGAGAGGAAGGUAGAAUUCCCGGUGUAGCGGUGAAAUGCGUAGAGAUCGGGAGGAAUACCAGUGGCGAAGGCGGCCUUCUGGACUGACACUGACACUGAGGUGCGAAAGCGUGGGUAGCAAACAGGAUUAGAUACCCGGGUAGUC
RNAcentral lists this ribosomal RNA (465 nucleotides) under Vreelandella stevensii. RNAcentral describes it as "partial 16S ribosomal RNA". It matches the Rfam family "Bacterial small subunit ribosomal RNA", at positions 338 to 795 of the family's 1533-position model. Lineage: Bacteria; Pseudomonadati; Pseudomonadota; Gammaproteobacteria; Oceanospirillales; Halomonadaceae. The record is from RNAcentral.